This 56-nucleotide non-coding RNA is filed under the name unclassified sequences. RNAcentral's name for it is "chromate-resist RNA". It matches the Rfam family "chrB-b RNA". The record is from RNAcentral.
CGGGGAUUGUAGGCAGACCCCCCGCUUCCCAAGACGCCCCGACGUCCAAGCUCUGC